GCGAUGCCGCGUGAAGGAAGACGGCCCUAUGGGUUGUAAACUUCUUUUAUACAGGAAGAAACCUUUCCACGUGUGGAAAGCUGACGGUACUGUAAGAAUAAGGAUCGGCUAACUCCGUGCCAGCAGCCGCGGUAAUACGGAGGAUCCAAGCGUUAUCCGGAAUUAUUGGGUUUAAAGGGUCCGCAGGCUGUUUGUUAAGUCAGGGGUGAAAUCCUACCGCUCAACGGUAGAACUGCCUUUGAUACUGGCAAACUUGAGUUAUUGUGAAGUAGUUAGAAUGUGUAGUGUAGCGGUGAAAUGCAUAGAUAUUACACAGAAGACCGAUUGCGAAAGCAGAUUACUAACAAUAUACUGACGCUGAGGGACGAAAGCGUGGGUAGCGAACAGGAUUAGAUACCCUGGUAGUCCACGCCGUAAACGAUGGUCACUAGCUGUUCGAUGUACAUUGGUACAUUGAGUGGCUAAGCGAAAGUGAUAAGUGACCCACCUGGGGAGUACGCUCGCAAGAGUGAAACUCAAAGGAAUUGACGGGGGCCCGCACAAGCGGUGGAGCAUGUGGUUUAAUUCGAUGAUACGCGAGGAACCUUACCAGGACUUAAAUGUAAGUUGCAUGAUUCAGAAAUGGAUCUUUCUUCGGACUACUUACAAGGUGCUGCAUGGUUGUCGUCAGCUCGUGCCGUGAGGUGUCAGGUUAAGUCCUAUAACGAGCGCAACCCCUAUCGUUAGUUGCCAUCAAGUAAGGUUGGGAACUCUAGCGAAACUGCCGGUGCAAACCGUGAGGAAGGUGGGGAUGACGUCAAAUCAUCACGGCCCUUACGUUCUGGGCUACACACGUGCUACAAUGGCCGGUACAGAAAGCAGCCACUAUGCGAAUAGGAGCUAAUCUUCAAAGCCGGUCUCAGUUCGGAUCGCAGUCUGCAACUCGACUGCGUGAAGCUGGAAUCGCUAGUAAUCGGAUAUCAGCCAUGAUCCGGUGAAUACGUUCCCGGGCCUUGUACACACCGCCCGUCAAGCCAUGGAAGCUGGGGGUACCUAAAGUCGGUGACCGAAAGGAGCCGCCUAGGGUAAAACUAGUAACUGGGGCUAAGUCGUAACAAGGUAGCCGUACCGGAAGGUGCGGCUGGAAUACCUCCUUUCU
This 1138-nucleotide ribosomal RNA is filed under the name uncultured Flavobacteriaceae bacterium. Its description in RNAcentral is "bacterial SSU rRNA". It matches the Rfam family "Bacterial small subunit ribosomal RNA", at positions 391 to 1533 of the family's 1533-position model. The record is from RNAcentral. Lineage: Bacteria; Pseudomonadati; Bacteroidota; Flavobacteriia; Flavobacteriales; Flavobacteriaceae.